RNA transcript from Acanthisitta chloris (rifleman), 723 nucleotides. It is a transcript of the gene named GTP-binding protein Rhes pseudogene, with no coding region annotated. NCBI's taxonomy places the organism in Eukaryota, Metazoa, Chordata, Aves, Passeriformes, Acanthisittidae. The record is from RefSeq and is a predicted model, not a curated record. The transcript has a single exon.
GCAGACAGACAAAUACCAGAGCUGCAGCCACGCAGGGACACCUGUGGGGUGAGCAGCAGCUGCAGAGCAUCCUGUGCCCUCUGUGCCAGCCAUGUCCCUGGUGGUGAAGGAGAAGAACCAUGUGCGGUUGGUGUUCCUGGGUGCUGCUGGCGUGGGCAAGACAUCCCUGAUCCGUCGCUUCCUGCUGGACACCUUCGAGCCCAAGCACCGGCGCACGGUGGAGGAGCUGCACAGCAAGGAGUACGAGGUGUGUGGGGCCACGGUCAAGGUGGAAAUCCUGGACACCAGUGGCAGCUACUCCUUCCCAGCCAUGAGGAAACUCUCCAUCCAGAACAGCGACGCCUUCGCCCUGGUCUAUGCUGUAGAUGACGCCGAGUCCUUCGAGAGCAUCAAGACCCUGCGGGAGGAGAUCCUGGAGGUGAAGGAGGACAAGUUCCCUCCCAUCGUGGUGGUUGGCAACAAGGCAGAGAGCGGCGGCGAGCGGCAGGUGCCGGCGGAGGACGCGCUGUCGCUGGUGGAGCUGGACUGGAACAGUCGCUUCGUGGAGACGUCGGCCAAGGACAACGAGAACGUCCUGGAGGUCUUCAGGGAGCUGCUGCAGCAAGCAAACCUGCCCAGCAGGCUCAGCCCAGCGCUCUGCAAGAGGAGGGAGACCCUGCCCAAGGAGCAGACACUCAGGCCACCCAUGAACAAGACCAACAGCUGCUCGGUGUGCUGAGCCGG